This 253-nucleotide ribosomal RNA is filed under the name uncultured bacterium. Its description in RNAcentral is "partial 16S ribosomal RNA". It matches the Rfam family "Bacterial small subunit ribosomal RNA", at positions 524 to 776 of the family's 1533-position model. The record is from RNAcentral.
UACGUAGGGUGCAAGCGUUAAUCGGAAUUAUUGGGCGUAAAGGGCUCGUAGGCGGUUUGUCGCGUCGGGAGUGAAAACAUCGGGCUUAACUCGGUGCUUGCUUUCGAUACGGGCAGACUUGAGGCAUGCAGGGGAGAACGGAAUUCCUGGUGUAGCGGUGAAAUGCGCAGAUAUCAGGAGGAACACCGGUGGCGAAGGCGGUUCUCUGGGCAUGUUCUGACGCUGAGGAGCGAAAGCGUGGGGAGCGAACAGG